ACUUAAAAAGCUUGCUUUUUAAGUUAGCGGCGGACGGGUGAGUAACACGUGGGCAACCUGCCUGUAAGACUGGGAUAACUUCGGGAAACCGGAGCUAAUACCGGAUAAUCCUUUUCUACUCAUGUAGAAAAGCUGAAAGACGGUUUACGCUGUCACUUACAGAUGGGCCCGCGGCGCAUUAGCUAGUUGGUGAGGUAACGGCUCACCAAGGCGACGAUGCGUAGCCGACCUGAGAGGGUGAUCGGCCACACUGGGACUGAGACACGGCCCAGACUCCUACGGGAGGCAGCAGUAGGGAAUCUUCCGCAAUGGACGAAAGUCUGACGGAGCAACGCCGCGUGAGUGAUGAAGGUUUUCGGAUCGUAAAACUCUGUUGUUAGGGAAGAACAAGUACGAGAGUAACUGCUCGUACCUUGACGGUACCUAACCAGAAAGCCACGGCUAACUACGUGCCAGCAGCCGCGGUAAUACGUAGGUGGCAAGCGUUGUCCGGAAUUAUUGGGCGUAAAGCGCGCGCAGGCGGUCCUUUAAGUCUGAUGUGAAAGCCCACGGCUCAACCGUGGAGGGUCAUUGGAAACUGGGGGACUUGAGUGCA
RNAcentral lists this ribosomal RNA (595 nucleotides) under Niallia nealsonii. Its description in RNAcentral is "bacterial SSU rRNA". It matches the Rfam family "Bacterial small subunit ribosomal RNA", at positions 69 to 650 of the family's 1533-position model. Lineage: Bacteria; Bacillati; Bacillota; Bacilli; Caryophanales; Bacillaceae. The record is from RNAcentral.